GAAUCAAUAUCGGGGUGCUUAGGCUGAGAAAUACCCGCAAAAACCUGAUCUGGAUAAUCCCAGCGUAGGAAAUAUUGAAUCUUAAGGA
RNAcentral lists this non-coding RNA (88 nucleotides) under Salegentibacter mishustinae. RNAcentral describes it as "TPP sequence". It matches the Rfam family "TPP riboswitch aptamer (THI element)". Rfam says of the family: Vitamin B(1) in its active form thiamin pyrophosphate (TPP) is an essential coenzyme that is synthesised by coupling of pyrimidine and thiazole moieties in bacteria. The record is from Rfam by way of RNAcentral. Lineage: Bacteria; Pseudomonadati; Bacteroidota; Flavobacteriia; Flavobacteriales; Flavobacteriaceae.